GGUGUAGCGCAGUUGGUAGCGCGCCUGGUUCGGGACCAGGAGGUCAUGGGUUCAAGUCCCGUCACU
RNAcentral lists this transfer RNA (66 nucleotides) under human gut metagenome. It matches the Rfam family "tRNA", at positions 5 to 66 of the family's 71-position model. From Rfam's summary of the family: Transfer RNA (tRNA) molecules are approximately 80 nucleotides in length. The record is from RNAcentral.